CCUCUGGUAGCUCAGUUGGUAGAGCGGUGGACUGUAGUCGGUAUUGAUAGUUAUCCAUAGGUCGCUGGUUCAAAUCCGGCCCGGAGGA
This 88-nucleotide transfer RNA is filed under the name Trialeurodes vaporariorum (greenhouse whitefly). RNAcentral describes it as "tRNA-Tyr for anticodon GUA". It matches the Rfam family "tRNA". Rfam says of the family: Transfer RNA (tRNA) molecules are approximately 80 nucleotides in length. Their secondary structure includes four short double-helical elements and three loops (D, anti-codon, and T loops). Lineage: Eukaryota; Metazoa; Arthropoda; Insecta; Hemiptera; Aleyrodidae. The record is from RNAcentral.